UUACGGCCAUAUCACGUUGAAACAUUGGUUCCCAUACAAUCACUGAAGUUAACUAACAUUGAGCCUGGUUAGUACCUAGAUGGAUAACUACUUGGGAAUAACAGGUGAUGUA
Molecule: non-coding RNA, 112 nt
Organism: Acanthosepion pharaonis
Lineage: Eukaryota; Metazoa; Mollusca; Cephalopoda; Sepiida; Sepiidae
Source: the annotation of a GenBank genome assembly